GGGAGUGAAAUAGAACCUGAAACCCUGCACUUACAAGCUGUGGAAGCACAUUUCUUGUGUGACCGCGUACUUUUUGUAGAACGGGCCAACGAGUUACGUUAAGUAGCAAGGUUAAGCACUUAAGGUGUGGAGCCGUAGCGAAAGCGAGUUUUAACUGAGCGUUCAGUUACUUGACGUAGACCCGAAACCGGGCGACCUACCCCUGAGCAGGAUGCAGCGAAAGUUAACUUUCGUGGAGGUCCGACACCACGUGCGUUGAAAAGCUCGGGGAUGACUUGUGGGUAGCGGUGAAAUUCCAAUCGAGCCCGGAGAUAGCUGGUUCUCCCCGAAAUAGCUUUAGGGCUAGCCUCAAGGUGAGAGAUACGGAGGUAGAGCACUGAAUGUCCUAGGGGGUAUUGCACCUACCGAAG
This 410-nucleotide ribosomal RNA is filed under the name Clostridioides difficile. RNAcentral's name for it is "bacterial LSU rRNA". It matches the Rfam family "Bacterial large subunit ribosomal RNA", at positions 534 to 944 of the family's 2925-position model. Lineage: Bacteria; Bacillati; Bacillota; Clostridia; Peptostreptococcales; Peptostreptococcaceae. The record is from RNAcentral.